CAGACGUAUUUCUCGCGACUCGGAUUGUUUGUUCGGUCUUCUUCUUCACAUUAUAUUCGGUCAUCAAUCGGCUAGUUAAUUUUAGCUUGCGACUGUAGCAAUGUCGUUUAGUAUUUGCGCGCUUAUUGUCCAUAAUUGCUUCAUAUUUGGUUGACCACCGGUGAUAAUUAGUAUUUAUAGUCGUGUUUGGCAUUUUAAUAAUAGUAAUUUAUCGCGCGUAUAAUCUUCGUAAAUCUAAAUUUUGCGAGUUUAGUCUAAAUACACUGUGAUUGGGUUGCGUCGGACGCCGGCCUGUGAUUGAUUGUGAACCGCAGAACACGGACCUGUAUUAGCCGUGGCUUGGAGUCCCACGAGUUUGGCAUUGCAAUUGCCUUCGAGUUCCGAUGCCCGAGUCACGAGCUAAAUUAGAAUGCGAAUUUGAUUCGCUUCGUCGUUCGACCCCCGAUUUAAAAUAAAAUAAAUAUUGACACCCCUUCCCG
Long non-coding RNA from Dalotia coriaria, 479 nucleotides. RefSeq lists it as uncharacterized. Lineage: Eukaryota; Metazoa; Arthropoda; Insecta; Coleoptera; Staphylinidae. The transcript is spliced from 3 exons. The record is from RefSeq and is a predicted model, not a curated record.